Molecule: transfer RNA, 73 nt
Filed under: Reclinomonas americana
Lineage: Eukaryota; Jakobea; Jakobida; Histionidae
Description: tRNA-Glu
Rfam family: tRNA
About the family: Transfer RNA (tRNA) molecules are approximately 80 nucleotides in length. Their secondary structure includes four short double-helical elements and three loops (D, anti-codon, and T loops).
Source: RNAcentral
GUCCUUUUCUUCUAGGUGGUUAGGAAGCUGCUCUUUCACGGCAGAAACGUGAGUUCAAAUCUCAUAAAGGACA